RNAcentral lists this transfer RNA (92 nucleotides) under Candidatus Omnitrophota bacterium. Its description in RNAcentral is "tRNA-Ser". It matches the Rfam family "tRNA". From Rfam's summary of the family: Transfer RNA (tRNA) molecules are approximately 80 nucleotides in length. Lineage: Bacteria; Pseudomonadati; Candidatus Omnitrophota. The record is from RNAcentral.
GGAGAGGUGGCAGAGUGGUCGAAUGCGGCGGUCUCGAAAACCGUUGCCCGGGGUAACUCGGGUCGUGAGUUCGAAUCUCACCCUCUCCGCCA